Molecule: ribosomal RNA, 207 nt
Filed under: uncultured bacterium
Lineage: Bacteria
Description: partial 16S ribosomal RNA
Rfam family: Bacterial small subunit ribosomal RNA
Source: RNAcentral
UUCGCUGGGGAGUAACUAGGGGAAACCGUUAAGCUAAUACCGAAUGGUCCGCUCCGGGCUGAGGCCUGGAUCGGUAAAGCCGUAAGGCGCGAAUGGAGGUGGUCCAAAUCCCAUUAGCUAGUUGGUAGAGUAAAAGCCUACCAAGGCCACGAUGGGUAGCUGGUUUGAGAGAAUGAUCAGCCACACUGGUACUGGAACACGGACCAG